UGCACUCACUACUGUAAGUCGCUCUGGAUAAGAGGGUCUGCUAAAUUACUUCAA
Salmo salar (Atlantic salmon) is the source of this 54-nucleotide non-coding RNA. Lineage: Eukaryota; Metazoa; Chordata; Actinopteri; Salmoniformes; Salmonidae. The record is from Rfam.